Molecule: RNA transcript, 791 nt
Organism: Hydra vulgaris (swiftwater hydra)
Lineage: Eukaryota; Metazoa; Cnidaria; Hydrozoa; Anthoathecata; Hydridae
Source: RefSeq, a predicted model, not a curated record
CCUAAUAUUUUCUAUUUCACUUAAAAAUAGUUAGUAGUAUAUUGAAAAUUACGUUUUGUGCAAAAUGGCAGAAUCCUCAAACAUAAUAUGUGCAUGCUGCUUGGAGAUAUUUGGUAAAAGAUCUAAAAAAGUGUUAAAAAUCACUCCAGGGAUUGAAAGACAUAUUCAAAACCUUUAUGGAAAGAAUAUGAUGUGGAAAAAGAAUGUUGUCCCAAAUAUAUAUGUUCAUCAUGUGUAACAAACCUUUAUGCUUUACACAGAGGAGAAACACAAAAAAUUGGGUUGUGGAUAGCUAAAAUAUCACAGAUUGAUUGACAAAAGUUAAAAAGAGCAUCAAAUAUUAAACAAAAGGCAUUAGAAAUUGUUCCAGUCAAUGAUGGAAACACAGAAAAUCCUAUCAAACUGCAUAAAAUAUGUUCUCUGUGUUUUUCAAUUACUGGUUAGUAUAUUUUUCAAUAAUUUAACUAUAUAUUAUAAUAAAUUCAAUUUUAUAUACAAUAAAAUAAUUGUGAGUUUGUAAACAAAUAACUUGAACUAAUGAUAACUGUUAAAUGAUUUUUAAAAUGAUUACUUAUAAUUACUCUUUAAUUCAAGCAAGAGGAUUAUCUCAUUUGCGCUGCAAAAGCCAAGCUGUUAAAAAUCUCAUUAGCCAUUCAGAAGCUCUUGGACAUGUAUGUAGUGAACAAAUAGCAUCAGUUGCUUAAUUUCAACUUUAAAUUUAUAAAAGUUUUUUUAAUUAUAUCUGAAACUUAUAAUCAGUGCAAAACCUUAAAAGAAAACUUUUUUAGAGU